Peromyscus californicus insignis is the source of this 3123-nucleotide long non-coding RNA. RefSeq lists it as uncharacterized. The transcript has 4 exons. NCBI's taxonomy places the organism in Eukaryota, Metazoa, Chordata, Mammalia, Rodentia, Cricetidae. The record is from RefSeq and is a predicted model, not a curated record.
UUCUCCUUCUGGGGACACCUUGUCCCCUCAGCCCAGAGCAAAUGCUGAGCACUCAAGGUCAUGUCUGCUUGGGAAUGAUCAUAAGGGAGCUUUUGGAUUUGGUGCGUUGAUGGCUGAGGAGAGACUGUGUGUAGAGAAAUUGGUGGAGGAUAGAAAAACAACUUGAGACUUCUUGAGAGGUCCUGUGGCUGAGACAGAGACCCCCACAGUAGGAGAGUGGCUCCCUCAACUGAGGUGCCUGAAUGGUUAACCCUUUAAUUUUGUUUUUCCUUAAGGAAAUGUUCCUGUACCUAGCAGUAUUCCAGUCAGCAGGAUAGUAGCCCAGAGUCCUAGAGACACAAUGUCUUGAUUCAACUGACUGGUCCUUCAUCCCCAUCACACUGACAUUCAGUUCUCCCCACCUCUCACCUCAUAAUGCUGUAUUUUUUUUAAAUCUUCUUUGGGAGCUUUUACUGAAAUGGCAAAGAACACUUUCCCACCGCCUACCUCACCACCUCCUCCACCCUCCCAUCCACCCCUUCUCCCUCCUCCUACUCCACAAAGCAAGGAUUAAGAAGACAUGCUUCUGUUUCCUCACUUUCCUUACUCCAGAUUCAGUGUGAUUUAGAACCUUCAUCCAUCUGUGUUUAUAAGAAGGCUACCAAUACAAAGAAGGCAGAGGUUCCAGACCACACCAACAGCAGUGAUCCUUACAGCAUUUGAGGACAGGUUGACCUCAGAUGAGUGCCCUAAAAUGUUUCGUUCUCCAUCACCACGGUGUUGAUUAAAUGAAUCAAGCAAAGUACAAAGCACGCAAAUGAAGAAGUGGGAACAGACAUCCACCCAGUACCAGGCCUGGCUUCAGAAUGCUAAUGUCAUUUUGUUUUCACUGCGGCCCUCAACUGUGGGGCGACUGUUUUCUACGUCUUUCGAGGUAAGACAGAUGCAGAGGUCAUGCCUGAGAUCGUGCCAGAUUCGAACAGCCUUGUCCUUAGUGCUUUCCACACCGACCUCGGAGAUCCUCCUCUUCAGCUUCCUCUAUCAGUGAAGGGCCCAGGGCCCCAUCACCCUGGAUGGGUAGAUGCAAGGGGACCAGCUGCUAACACGGGCGGUGUGGAAGAUCCACUGCUUCCUUUCUCAUCACCCAUUGCUGGCGGCUGCUGGUGUUGAGACUGGGGGACACGGCCUCAUUCCAGCUCUUCUUCCAGAUCCCGACUUAGUGCUCAGACCCGCAUCCCUGCCUGCAGCAACAGCACAGUCCCAUCUUGUCUUAACACCGCUGUCCUUGUUAUACUGCAUGACAGGUGUCACUUGGUUGUUUGAUUUUAUUUUUUUAAUGACAAUUUGCUAUGACUGUCUCUCUCUUUUUUUAUUUUCCGCUAUUUUGUUAAGCUUGUCCCUCUGAGAGAUUCACCUUGAGUUCAUCUCCCAGAAGCCCAGUCAACCAGUCAGGUAUCCAUCUACCUGCCCAGGCACCUGUGUGUCUAUUGGAAAGUCCCUGUAUGCCAGACAGGCUCUGUGUUAGAAGGCAGAGGUAGCAAAGGGGUGGGGUGUCUGUCAUGUGGGGAUCACCAUCUGUGGACCUGGGUCUCAGGAUCCAAAUCUUCCAUUUCAGUGGGCUAAAGGGCAUGGGAGGAGAGACAAUGGCAAGAUUGCUGUGACUGACCCUUCUUCCAGCUUGGAGGAGAAGGGCAAGACAGCACAGCAAACAGAAGGGGAGACUGACUGUGACUUUGAUGUUUACAAGCUUGGGUCUGGUCCCCGAGGGGAGAACAUUGGCUUUUACCACCAGAAUCUCUGCUUGCAGAUAAAGCUAGAUGCUGCAGUUCUUUGCAGGCUGAGGCAGACUGGGGGCUACUCAGCUAUCUUCCUCCACAUUUUCUUGACUUGUGCCUAUUGCCAUGUCUCUUUGGUUAAAUCUCCCUGGAAACCAUAUCAGUUCUACUGCCCCUGCAAAUGACAUCUUGCCCCUCCCCUAGUUUUUGUUGUUUUUUGUUGUUGUUGUUUUUUGCAUGCUCACUGACUUAAAUCUCUCCCACUGCUUAUUCCUUGACACCAAUUCAGUGUGGAAAAUUCCAGAUGCCCAAUAUUGUUCACAAAUCACAUUUCUCUGCUGAUGGUACAGGGAGGCUUUCCAUAAGAGGACAGAUUAGGACAGCAUUCUGUGAGUGGGAAAAGACAGUCACAUGCCUUCAGUAUAUUGUUCUAGAAAAAGACAAAUAAAAAAGAAAGGGUCAAUGCCUUAGUUAGGGUUUCUAUUGCUGUGAAGAGACAUCAUGACCAGAGCAACUCUUAUUAAGGAAAUAAUUUAAAUGGGGCUGGCUUAUAGCUCAGAGCUUUAGUUCAUUGUCAUUAUAGUGGGAAGCAUGGCAGCAUGCAGGCAGACAUGGUGCUGGAGAGAUAGCUGAGAGUUCUCUGUCUGGAUCAGCAGACAGUGGGAAGAGAGAAUGACACUGGACCUGGCUUGGGCUUCUGAAACCUCAAAGCCCACCCCUAGUGACACACUUCCUCCAACAAGUCCACACCUACUCCAACAAGACCACACCUCCCAAUAGUUGCCAGUCCUGGUGAGCCCAUGGGAAACAUUUUCACUCAAACGGCCACAUUUGAUUUCUUAUCUGUUCCUUUGUUCCUUAGAGAAAACACAAUACACAAUUUGUGGCCAAAGAGAAUUUGAAGACAGGACACUGUAUUUUUUCUAUGUUAGAAAGUCUGGUCUUUUGAGUCAUGUCUGGAGACUCAGGGUAGGGUGAUCAUGAUCACAUAAUGAUCUUUCAAGGGUUCAGGAACUUUGAAAUGAUGGGUAGUGAUGGGGUGAAGUCUGAGACAUCAGCCAAAGCUCCUUCCACUAUUCUGUACACGGUCCCUUCUCCACCCUCCUGGAAGCACACCCUAUCAGCCAUAGGGGCCAUCUGUAGCCUAAAGUCAAGAUGAGCAACUGGAAGAAGAUACUAAACACGGUGACUUUGCAUCAAGAACUUAAGUAGAAAAGAUGCAGAUGUAGUCACUGUAUAAUGGACAAAAGUUUGCAUUAAAACAUGCAUAUGAAUGUUUCUCCUGCAUAUCUGUAUACCAUGUGCAUAUAGUGCCCAUAAACACCAGAAGAGGGUGCACAAGACAAUAAACCUGGAAGCCAUUCACUCA